CAGAAGCAGCGACUCAAUGGCUAUUCGUUGAAAAUUUUAGCCAAACUAUGAGAUAUUCCUGUGUUUUUGUUUGAAUGAAACUCGCAACACUUUCAGACUGUGUUAGUCUAAAAGACUUUUUUAAGUGUUAGUUAUAUAAAUGACUGACUUUAGGAAUUCUGCACGUUGUUGUCUGAGCUGUCAGAAACUGAUCCGGAAUCUUUCCAGACUGAUACUGACACAAAACAGAAGAGUUACGUUAGCUUGUUUUUUUUUUUUUUUAGUACACAUGCACACUUAGAUUUCCCAGUUAUUGACCUUCUAUCAUGAAAUGUAUUAUUUUAAUUCAGUUUCUUUCUUGCUUACACCUACCCCCCUAAAUCUGUCUUCUGUGUUUUGAUAACAGGCUGCAGGUUCAGUAAAUCCAGAUUUCUUUAGUUCUGCCUUUCACUGCCUUAAAUCAGUGCCGUUCAGGUCCAUUCAGCUGCAGAAGAACUAUGAGGCAGGAUGUGGAGCAGCAAGACUGAUUGAUAUGUUUGUGAAUGUAUUAAUGUAUUUUAUAAUUUUGCUUAUAUUUCUUCUUGGUAAAAGCUGAGUCACAAACUGUUGCUGCAGCUGGAGCUACAGAAACAGCAGAUAACCUGCUCAGCCUUCUUCUUGUCAUCACCUCUGACCCUCAGCAGUGGCCUUCACCUGGGCCUCUAAUCCUGCAGUCACCAGAGACCCCGCCUGAUCUGAACAGAAGGAUUCUCUGUGAUAACAGCAGAUGGAUGCAUCUAUAACUCUGUGACAUCAUCAGGAGAUCUGGAUCAAUGGACCUGCUUCUGCUUGUCAAAAGCUCCUAUGCCUCCUUGAAUUGGUCUCAUCUUCAUGUCAGAGCAGUCCUACAUUUUACAGAACAUAAUUUUACUGUGUGAGUGUUUGAAACAUUGCAAAUGAUCUGAAAAAGACUAAAUUGGACAAUUUUUUCAUUAAAAUCUUUCUGUUGUUACUGUUAUCAAAAUUACAUUUAAACAGAGCAUUGUGAUGGUAAAUUAAAAUAAAUCAAUAGCUACGGGAGUAAAUAUUUACUCCCAUCGUCAGAUACUCACAGGUGUCCCCCAUCCAUCCGCUCCACAUAUAAACAAGAGGGACUGAUUGCGCCACCUUGUGGUUGUUUACGGCAUGCUGUGACUUCUGACUCAUCUUGGUCUUUCAGCCUGUGAUCUGCCUACAGCAGCGCAUGCUUUGGGGGCGGCCGCGCCAGGUUGCCAGCACAACUUUUCUAGUUACAGAUUACUAUAUUACAGAUGCAUAAACACGAAAGCAGUAUUUUAAUGUUGUAGUUGGUUGACAUGGAGCUAAUAUUAACAGUUUUACCCUCUUGGUCAGUUUGAUUUAUAACAAGUGAACGUAUGUUAUAAAUUAAUAAUAUGUUUUGUAUAAAAUCUUAAUAAGAAGCUAAACUAUAGAUUUAAAGCAGAUGGCAGUGGUGUGAAGAGUGAAAUAUUUCCCUCUGAAAUGUAGCGGAGUAAAAGCAGAAACUGGCAAAAAAUGGAAAUAUUUGAAUAUUUAAAUUUUGUCAUUCUUUUAAAAAAUAAAUUUAAUAACAAACAA
This is a long non-coding RNA of Thunnus maccoyii (southern bluefin tuna), 1575 nucleotides long. RefSeq lists it as uncharacterized. NCBI's taxonomy places the organism in Eukaryota, Metazoa, Chordata, Actinopteri, Scombriformes, Scombridae. The record is from RefSeq and is a predicted model, not a curated record. The transcript is spliced from 3 exons.